Molecule: long non-coding RNA, 353 nt
Filed under: Mytilus galloprovincialis (Mediterranean mussel)
Lineage: Eukaryota; Metazoa; Mollusca; Bivalvia; Mytilida; Mytilidae
Source: RNAcentral
GCAUAAUAGACUUUUAAUUUAGUACCGGUCUGUAAUAGAAAUAUAUUCCAAGACAAAAUGUACGUUUGCAGUAAUUGCAAAUAAUAAAAGUAACCCUUUUAAGAUGAAAGAGUAGAAACAAAUCUGGAAUAAAGAGAGAAGUGAGAUGUUUAUCAAAGUCUUAACACAAAAAAAAAUUAUAACAUUCGAGAAUUGACACCAUUGUAAAAUAUUUAAAACUGCAAUUCCUGUGUAAACUGGAACAUAAAACCUGCACACUAAGCUUUGAAAAAUGUGCCAUAAUUACAACAUAAAUCAAGAUUCCUAGCUGCCACCCCAAACAUUACACCACUGUAUCAUUGUUGUAACAAACC